CCUACGGGUGGCAGCAGUGGGGAAUAUUGGACAAUGGGCGAAAGCCUGAUCCAGCCAUGCCGCGUGUGUGAAGAAGGCCUUCGGGUUGUAAAGCACUUUCAGUGGGGAAGAAAGCCUUGGGGCUAAUACCCUCGAGGAAGGACAUCACCCACAGAAGAAGCACCGGCUAACUCCGUGCCAGCAGCCGCGGUAAUACGGAGGGUGCGAGCGUUAAUCGGAAUUACUGGGCGUAAAGCGCGCGUAGGCGGUCUGAUAAGCCGGUUGUGGAAAGCCCCGGGCUCAACCUGGGAACGGCAUACCGGAUGUAGAGCUGGAAGGCGUGGGAGGAAGGUGGAAUACACGGGGUAUGGGUGAAGUGCGAGGAGAUAGGGAGGAAUACCAGGGGCGAAGGCGGGCUUCUAGACUGAUACUGACGCUAACCUGCGAAAGCGUACGUAGCAAACAGCAUUCGAUAACCUUCGAC
This 463-nucleotide ribosomal RNA is filed under the name Vreelandella stevensii. RNAcentral's name for it is "partial 16S ribosomal RNA". It matches the Rfam family "Bacterial small subunit ribosomal RNA", at positions 338 to 793 of the family's 1533-position model. The record is from RNAcentral. Lineage: Bacteria; Pseudomonadati; Pseudomonadota; Gammaproteobacteria; Oceanospirillales; Halomonadaceae.